AAUGCACCAAUUUGUAAGUCGCUCUGGAUAAGAGCGUUUGCUAAAUGACAUAAA
This is a non-coding RNA of Salmo salar (Atlantic salmon), 54 nucleotides long. Lineage: Eukaryota; Metazoa; Chordata; Actinopteri; Salmoniformes; Salmonidae. The record is from Rfam.